GUGGGGAAUUUUGGACAAUGGGCGAAAGCCUGAUCCAGCAAUGCCGCGUGAGUGAAGAAGGCCUUCGGGUUGUAAAGCUCUUUCAGUUGAGAAGAAAAAAACGUGAAUAAUACUCACGUUUCAUGACGGUAUCAACAGAAGAAGCACCGGCUAACUACGUGCCAGCAGCCGCGGUAAUACGUAGGGUGCGAGCGUUAAUCGGAAUUACUGGGCGUAAAGGGUGCGCAGGCGGUUCUGAAAGUCAGAUGUGAAAUCCCUGGGCUUAACCUAGGAAUUGCGUUUGAAACUACAGGACUAGAGUGUGGCAGAGGGGGGUGGAAUUCCAUGUGUAGCAGUGAAAUGCGUAGAGAUAUGGAAGAACAUCGAUGGCGAAGGCAACCCCCUGGGUUAACACUGACGCUCAGGCACGAAAGCGUGGGGAGCAAACAGGAUUAGAAACCCGAGUAGUCC
RNAcentral lists this ribosomal RNA (450 nucleotides) under uncultured bacterium. Its description in RNAcentral is "bacterial SSU rRNA". It matches the Rfam family "Bacterial small subunit ribosomal RNA", at positions 354 to 796 of the family's 1533-position model. The record is from RNAcentral.